AUUCGGGGAGGUAGUGACAAGAAAUAAUAACUCGGGUAGUUCUACUAUUACGGGAUUAAAAUGAGAACAAUUUAAAAAUCUUAGCGAGGAUCAAAAUGAGGGCAAGUCUGGUGCCAGCAGCCGCGGUAAUUCCAGCUCAUUUAGUGUAUAUUAAAGUUGUUGCAAUUAAAAAGCUCGUAGUCGAUCAUCUAGUGCUGGCUGCUUCGGCUUCGGCUGCGGUACGCGAGUGCUAUCUGCUCGAGAACUUUAUCGGUCUUAACUGGUCGAUGAUGCUGAUCGGGCACUUUCCUGAGAAAAAAUUAGAGUGUUCAAAGCAGGCUAAUGCCUUGAAUAUUACAGCUUGGAAUAAUAGAAUAAGACUGAAGUCUCUUUUGUUGGUUAUGAACUUUAGUAAUGGUUAAUAGGAACAGUCGGGGGUAUUAGUAUUUAAUUGUCAGAGGUGAAAUUCUAUGAUUUAUUAAAGACUAACUUAUGCGAAAGCAUUUGCCAAGGAUGUUUUCAAUUGAUCAAGAACGAAAGUUAGGGGAUCAAAGACGAUCAGAUACCGUCCUAGUCUUAACUAUAAACGAUUCCGACUAUGGAUCAGAAGGGUUUUCCAAUCCCUUUUGGCACAUUAUGAGAAAUCAAAGUCUUUGGGUUCUGGGGGAAGUAUGGACACAAGUCUGAAACUUAAAGGAAUUGACGGAAGGGCACACCAGGUGUGGAGCCUGCGGCUUAAUUUGACCCAACACGGGGAAACUUACUAGGGCAAGACUAAGGUUGGAUUGACAGAUUGAGAGCUCUUUCUUGAUUCUUAGGGUGGUGGUGCAUGGCCGUUCUUAGUUGGUGGAGUGAUUUGUCUGGUUAAUUCCGUUAACGAACGAGACCUCAACCUGCUAAACUAGGAGCCGGAUUAAACAUUCGGUUUCCUUCUUAGAGGGACAAAGUGUUCAAGCACUGGGAAGUGAGGCAAUAACAGGUCUGUGAUGCCCCUAGACGUCCUAGGCCGCACGCGCGCUACAAUGACACGUUCAACGAGUUUCUUCCUGGUCCUGACGGAUUCGGGUAAUCUUCAUAGUACGUGUCGUGCUUUGGGAUAGUCCUUUGCAAUUAUAGGACUUAAACUAGGAAUACCUAGUAUAGGUAAGUCAUCAGCUUGCCUAGAUUAUGUCCCUGCCCUUUGUACACACCGCCCGUCGCUCCUACCGAUUUUGAGUGAUUAGGUGAACCUUCUGGAUCAGAGUAGUCUUCAAGGCUGUUCUGAGAAGUUAAGUAAAUCAUUAUCACUUAGAGGAAGGAGAAGUCGUAACAAGGUUUCCGUAGGUGAACCUGCGGAAG
Molecule: ribosomal RNA, 1317 nt
Filed under: metagenome
Description: SSU rRNA
Rfam family: Eukaryotic small subunit ribosomal RNA
Source: RNAcentral